UGUAAGGGUAUUGUAAGGCUGUGACAUCUGUUAUGCCAUUGAUCGCCAAGGUUGAUUUGGUUGAUCUGGCUGGCUGCAGGGUGUCCCCUUCUUCCCUCGCCAU
This 103-nucleotide small RNA is filed under the name Pogona vitticeps (central bearded dragon). Its description in RNAcentral is "7SK RNA (ENSPVIG00000021946.1)". It matches the Rfam family "7SK RNA", at positions 1 to 105 of the family's 331-position model. Rfam says of the family: 7SK was discovered as an abundant small nuclear RNA in the mid-70s but a possible function has only recently been suggested. Two independent studies have found that 7SK RNA binds the CDK9/cyclin T complex (known as elongation factor P-TEFb). The record is from RNAcentral. Lineage: Eukaryota; Metazoa; Chordata; Lepidosauria; Squamata; Agamidae.